This 267-nucleotide long non-coding RNA is filed under the name Elaeis guineensis (African oil palm). RNAcentral's name for it is "long non-coding RNA (EGUI_LNC015751)". Lineage: Eukaryota; Viridiplantae; Streptophyta; Magnoliopsida; Arecales; Arecaceae. The record is from RNAcentral.
AAACAAAAAUACAAAAAUAACAACCUUACUAAACAAGCCCUAAAAUUUAUAAAAGAAAUAGGGAACAUGUUUUGUAUUGUUGAUGUUUUUCUGUUUUUUAUACUAUCAAUAAUGAAGUACCAUACGAAGACAAACGUAUAAGAAACCUUUUGUAUAGCAAUUUUUGCCAUUCUUUUUAUUUUUAUUUUUAUUUUUUUUGGGAGCAAUAUUUUUUUUCCUCAAAAAAAUUUUAUAGAUUUUACAAAUAAUAUAAAAAAUAGAAUAGUU